UUUCGUAUACUGUUGACUCGG
RNAcentral lists this non-coding RNA (21 nucleotides) under Caenorhabditis elegans. Lineage: Eukaryota; Metazoa; Nematoda; Chromadorea; Rhabditida; Rhabditidae. The record is from RNAcentral.